GACGAACGCUGGCGGCGUGCUUAACACAUGCAAGUCGAACGAUGAAGCCGGAGCUUGCUCUGGUGAAUUAGUGGCGAACGGGUGAGUAACACGGGAGUAACCUGCCCUUGACUCUGGGAUGACUGCGGGAAACUGUAGCUAAUACCGGAUACGACCCUCGGAGGCAUCUCCUGGGGGUGGAAAGAAUUUCGGGCAAGGAUGGACUCGCGGCCUAUUAGCUAGUUGGUGAGGUAAAGGCGCACCAAGGCGACGACGGGUAGCCGGCCUGAGAUGGUGACCGGCCACACUGGGACUGAGACACGGCCCAGACUCCUACGGGAGGCAGCAGUGGGGAAUAUUGCACAAUGGGCGCAAGCCUGAUGCAGCGACGCCGCGUGAGGGAUGACGGCCUUCGGGUUGUAAACCUCUCUUAGCAUCGACGAAGCGAAAGUGACGGUAGGUGCAGAAGAAGGACCGGCCAACUACGUGCCAGCAGCCGCAGUAA
This 484-nucleotide ribosomal RNA is filed under the name uncultured bacterium. RNAcentral describes it as "partial 16S ribosomal RNA". It matches the Rfam family "Bacterial small subunit ribosomal RNA", at positions 28 to 523 of the family's 1533-position model. The record is from RNAcentral.